This 699-nucleotide long non-coding RNA is filed under the name Pan troglodytes (chimpanzee). RNAcentral describes it as "long non-coding RNA NONPTRT013983". The record is from RNAcentral. Lineage: Eukaryota; Metazoa; Chordata; Mammalia; Primates; Hominidae.
AUUGAAAUCAGGAACAAGUCAAGGAUGCCCAUGUCAUCGCUUACACACAACAUUAUCCUGGAGGUUCUAGUCAAUGGACAAAAGAUUACGGAAAAAAAUUACAUAUAAAAAUUAGAAAAUAAGAAGAAACGAAGACAAAUUAUUAGAAUAAAAUAGAAUAUUAAAACAAAAAAUUAAUUGCACUUUUAUAUAUCAGUAAUAAGUUAGAAAAGGAACAUUUUUAAUAAUAAAAAUAAAAGACAAGAAGAACUAAAACUAUUAAAAGAAUUGCAAGACAUUUAUUUCUUCUCCUUGGGCCCCCCUAUUCCCUGUGACAUGACAAUAUUGAAAUUAGGCCAAUUAAUAAGCCUACAGUGGCCUCUAAAUGUUCAGGUGAAAGGAAGAGUCACAUUUCUUCCACUUUAAAUCAAAGGCUAGAAAAAAAUAAGCUCAGUGAGAAAGGCAGGUCAAAAGCUGAGACAGGCCAAAAGCUAGGCCUCUUGUGCCAAACAGCCAAGUUGUGAAUACAAAGGAAAAGGUCUUGAAGAAAAUUUAAAGUGCUACUUCAGUGGACACCCAAAUGAAAAGAAAACAACAGAGUUUGUUGCUGAUAUGAAGAAAGUUUGUGGUCUGGAUAGAAGAUCAAACCAGAUACAAUAUUUCCUUAAGCCAAAGCCUGAUCCAGAGACAGGCCCUAACUCUCUUCAAUUCCCUGAAGGC